This is a long non-coding RNA of Lathyrus oleraceus (garden pea), 1240 nucleotides long. RefSeq lists it as uncharacterized. NCBI's taxonomy places the organism in Eukaryota, Viridiplantae, Streptophyta, Magnoliopsida, Fabales, Fabaceae. The record is from RefSeq and is a predicted model, not a curated record. The transcript has 2 exons.
CAUUAUUUUAUCAUAUGAGUUGUUGUCAUCUUAACAUUACCUUAUUUUGUAUAUAUUCUUUCUUAUUUCUAAACCUUCUUUAUUUAUUAUUCAUGUGUCUUUGUUUGAAGUGGAAGUGAACUUGAUGUUACUCUGUGGGAAACAUAUGCCAACCAAUUUACGGCAUACAAAGAUGAAAAUACCACAGGUGGCCCCAAAAUAAUCAUAAUCACUCAUAAUAUGUGCCAACAAAGUUCAAGUAUGCAUUCAUAUGUUUCACCUAUUUUCUUCAUUCCAUGUUUCUGUAAUGAAUAAGGACAAAAGGGGUAACAAAUCACAACAGAAUAAUCAACACGUGGCCUAUGAUCCUCAAAUUCAGGAGUUGGGACGUGGAGUGAGAAGCAAAAUUCCCAACAGAAAAUAUACCACUGAUUUCAUUUAAGUAGCCCAAUGAUUGGUAAUGAGUGGUGUGGAAUUUAGUGGAAAGAAUUGGAUUCUCUUCUCCCUAUGAGCACUAUGCUUUCUAGAUCCUUCCUUUAAUUUCUCUGUACUUACAUUUCUGCAAGUGGAGAACCACAAUCAUUUUAUCAUUUACGAAACAAUACUUGAAAUUUGUACUGUUGCAUUGAGAAAAUUAGUACAAAUUUACCUUAAUCGCUGUGUAUUGUGUGCAUCUAUUUUUGAACCAUAACAUUUCUUACUUACUGAACUCUUAAGCUUGUGGCUCUUAUUUAUGGUUUUUAUUUACUAUAUUCUCCUUUUUCGCAGCAAUGGAAAGCUCUACAUCUCUAAUUCUUGGGUGCUUUCAUUUGUACCUGGAAAUCUCAUCAUACUUAGUUAACAAAUAAUUUGAUUUUUGAUUCUUACUUUCAUAGCUAACUUUAUUCAUGUACAUACAUUCUUAUAUAGGUAUAAGAUUGAAAUAGAGGUCGAGUAUGAAGGCAAGAUCGGUUGUUUUGUGUUUUGGGACAAGGAGUGGAUUAGUUAUGUUGGAUUGGGUGCACAUGAUUUAAGAGAAGUUAUGAAAAAGACCAAUGAAGAUCAUCCACAAAUAUACUUUGCACACCUAGAUAAUCUGUUGGGCAAAGAAUUCGAUUUUCGUAUGAAGUACCAACCGGAGUAUAAGCAAUCAUCAGUUGUCAAGCAUACCGAGGAUAAACAAAUCAUCCAAAUGAUCAAAGAUGACAUGGUUCAACAUGAGGUCUUUCAAUCGUUUGUAAACAUGUUUUCUUUAAAUUCAAUUAGUAUCAUGUUUUUCUUA